Quercus robur (English oak) is the source of this 5670-nucleotide RNA transcript. It is a transcript of the gene named disease resistance protein RUN1-like, with no coding region annotated. The record is from RefSeq and is a predicted model, not a curated record. The transcript is spliced from 10 exons. Lineage: Eukaryota; Viridiplantae; Streptophyta; Magnoliopsida; Fagales; Fagaceae.
CACUGAAGAAAAAGCCAAUAAACUAAAAUUAAACAAAGAUGAAUUAUUCGGUCCCACGAGUAAAAGCAAUUCCAAUGGCGAAACUUCAAACAACUUUCCUUGACUCUCCAACUUUAACUAUAGUAGUGUUCCUCUUCAAUUAUUGUCUCUCUAUAUUUUUUUUUCUCAAACUGAGCACACAGAAAGUGGUUUUUUACCACCAAAUCGUUCAAGCCUACUAGCAUCCUCAAGUUCAAUACUUGCCGUCAACAUAUUUCCAAUGUCUUCUAUUAGCUCUCAGAAGACCUCCUCUUCGUCAUCAUUUUCACCUUCAACACCUUGGUGGAAAUAUGAUGUCUUUCUUAGUUUUAGAGGUGAGGACACUCGUUCUAGUUUUACGGACCAUCUAUAUGUUGCUUUGAAACAAAGGGGCAUAGUUACCUUUAGAGACGAGGAAAAUCUUGAGAUAGGAAAGUCUAUUUCACCAGAACUCCUAAAAGCAAUAAAAGAAUCGAGAUUUGCAAUUGUCAUUCUCUCAAGAAACUUUGCGUCAUCAACAUGGUGCUUGGAUGAACUUACAAAGAUAAUUGGAUGCCUAAAAGAGAAGACCACGACUGUUUUACCAAUUUUUUAUAAUGUGGACCCAUCUGAUGUACGAAAACAAACAGGCACCUUUGCCCAAGCCUUUUCUAAACAUGAAGAAUCUUUCAAGGACGACAUAGAGAAAGUGCAAAUGUGGAAAGCUGUUUUAGAAGAAGUGGCAAAUCUCAAAGGGUGGCACCUACUGGAUAGGUCCGAGGCACAACUUAUCCAAGAUAUUGUGGGAGAGUUAUGGCAUAAAUUGAAUUAUGCAUUCUUUGAAGAUACUAAAGACCUUGUAGGAAUAGAAUCUCGAGUGAAGGAAUUGGAAUCAUGUUUGGCUAUAGGGUCUAAUGAUGUUCGCAUAAUAGGGGUUUGGGGGAUGGGGGGAAUAGGUAAAACAACUCUUGCUAGAGUUGUUUUUCAUAUGGUUUCGAGGGAGUUUGAUGGUUGUUGCUUUCUCCAUAAUGUUAGGGAGGUUUGUGAAAAAGAAGGUUUACUUCCAUUGCAACAACAAAUUAUUAGAAAAAUAUUAAACGAAAGUAUACAAGAUGUUGAUGAGGGAGUUUUCGUGAUCAAAAAUAGAUUACGUCAUAAAAGAAUUCUUCUCGUUCUUGAUGAUGUAAGCCAAUUAGACCAGUUGGAAAAGUUAGUUGGGAAGCAUAAUUGGUUUGGUUUUGGUAGUAGAGUUAUCAUAACAACAAGGGAUAAGCAUUUACUACAUACACAUGAAGUAGAUGAAAUAUGCGUAGCUGAAACAUUGAGUGAUGAUGAAGCUCUUCAUCUUUUGAGUUUGAAAGCUUUUAAAAAAGACCGCCCUCCCAAAGAUUACCUACAACUAUCCAAAGAUGCCGUACAAUAUACUAAAGGCCUUCCUUUAGCUAUUGAGAUUUUGGGUUUCACUUUGUUCAAUAGAGACAUCAAUCAAUGGAAAAGUACAUUACUUAGGCUUAAAAAAUUUCCGGAAUGUGCAAUUUUCGAAGCACUUAAAAUAAGUUAUGAUAGACUACAUGAAACAGAGAAAAAAAUAUUCUUGUAUAUUGCAUGUUUCUUUAAUCAUGAGUACAAAAAUAGUGUAGUGAGUAAACUAGAUUAUCUUGACCUUUACCCUGCUAUUGGAUUAGUGGUUCUAGUUGAGAAAUCUCUCAUAAAAAUCAAUGAUGAUAAAGUGUGGAUGCAUGAUUUAGUGCAAGACAUGGGCAGGAAAAUAGUUCAUGAAGAGUGCCCUGAAGAGCCUGGAAAGCGUAGCAUCUUGUGGUCAUUCGAAGACAUUAAUAGUGUACUAACAAAAAAUACGGGAACAGAAGCAAUUCAAGGCAUAGUCCUAAAGUUGCCUGAAUCAAAAGAGGCAUAUUGGAAUCCUGAAUCUUUCUCAAUGAUGCAUAAUCUGAAAUUGCUCACAAUUGAUAAUGUUCAACUUCUCCAUGAACCCAAACAUCUUCCUAUUGGCUUAAGAUUUCUUGAGUGGAGGGGAUACCCUUCAAAAUCUUUGCCAUUAAAUUUCCAAUCAAAUGAUCUUGUUGAACUUUACAUGUGCUGUAGCCACAUUGAACAACUUUGGAAAGGAGCAAAGUCUUUUGAGAAGUUGAAAAUCAUCCAAAUGAAUGGGUCUCCAAACCUUAUAGAAACCCCUGAUUUGAUCAAAGUCCCGAAUCUUGAGAAAAUGUUUCUUGAAGAUUGUUUAAAUUUACGUGAGAUUCACCCUUCAACUUUGGUUCAUAAUAGGCUUACUCUUCUCAAUCUAAAAGGCUGUGUAAAUGUCAAAACUCUUCCAAGCAAGUUUGAAAUGGAGUCUCUUGAGGUUCUUAUUCUUUCUAGUUGCUCAAAACUAAAAAAGAUUCCAGAAUUUGGAGAAAACAUGCAACAUGUAUUAGAGCUUUAUUUGGGUGGAACUGCUAUUAAUAAAUUACCCACAUCAAUUGGGCAUUUGACCACCCUUGUUUUAUUGAAUGUAAGAGAUUGCAAAAGUCUUACAUGUUUGCCAAGCAGCAUUUUUAAUUUGAAAUUGCUUAAAGACGUGAAUAUUUCGGGAUGCUCGAAACUUGAGAGACUGCCAGAGAAUGUGGGGAACGCUGAAAGUGUAGAGGAGUUGGAUGUGAGUGGAACUGCUAUAAGAGAGGUGCCUUCCUCCAUUGGUCUCCUAAAAAAUCUUAAAAUGCUCUCUUUCAGUGGAUGUAAGGGGCUAUCAUCAUUUAACUAUACAUCUUGGUAUGAUCUCCUCCCAUUUUCUUCAAGGCCAAAAAUUGCAGAUCCCAUGGGUUUGUCCUCUCUAUCGGGUUUGUGUUCUUUGACUAAAUUGAAUCUACAAGAUUGCAAUCUCAGGGAAAUCCCUAAUGAUAUUGGUUGCUUAUUCUCUUUAGAAGAAAUAGAUCUAAGUGAGAAUAGUUUUGUUUGCCUUCCUGAUAGCAUCAGUCAACUAUGUAAGUUGGAAAUCAUGGAUUUGGAGAAUUGCACGAGUCUGCGAACAUUGCCAAAUCUUCCAGUAGAUAUCAUACGAAUUUGGGGAGAUGGUUGUACCUCAUUGGAAACGGUACUAGAUCUCCAAAAACCUAAUUCUUUUUGUAAGGGAGAGCUUUAUCUUUCAAAUUGCAGUAAACUGGCUGAAAAUCAAGAUUUCAUUGACAUAUUUUUGGCAGUGAUAAGAAAGCACCAUCAGGGACUCUCUCGUCACGAUAGCUAUGAUAAUCGAGAAUACAAUUGGAGAUAUGACAUGAUUAUUCCAGGAAGUGUAAUUCCGAAGUGGUUUAUCCAUCAAAGUAUUGGGGCUGAAGUGAAUAUAAAAGAACCUUCUUCUCAUUUGUGUGAUGACUGGAUGGGGACUGCUGUUUGCGUUGUAUUUUCUUCUCUUCUCCAUUUUUCAAUAUCCUUUCGGUUGAUAGCAAAUGGAAAAGUAAUGUCUGCUAAGAUAGGCACUACGUAUUACAGUUUUUUUGAUUUAUUAUCAGAUCAUAUUUUUCUAUGUUAUUUGCUUCCUCAAUACUACAAGGAGGACAUAAAAUUACUGAACGAAUGUGAAGCAAAUGAAUUGAGUCAGAUUGGCAUUAAAAUUAUUAUUGAAGAUUCAGAGGUGCAAGUGAAGAAAUGUGGGUUCCGUGUGGUAUACAAGAAAGACUUAGAAGAACUCAACCGAACUAUGGCUUUGAGUAGCAGCACCAGCAUCAUUCCUUAUGAGGACUUGGGUGUUCUCCAUCAUAAUUUCAAGAAUUCGGUAGUGGUUGCGGAAGAUAACAAAGCAAAGCAAAUUCAUGACAAUUUCGACAGGGCUGGGCCUAGUGGAGAAGGAAGUUGUAAUGAUGUGGCACACCCAAACAGGAUUGAAAGGCUCCAUGGUGGCUUUGAUUGUGAGGAGUACUUCGAAUGUGGUGAGGAGAUCAAUGAUUAGCAGGAAUCUAGAUGGAAUUGGGAACUGGGUUCAAAUACUCUUAAUCAGACUCGAGAAGGCAAACAACUGUGUUGACAAGGUUGAAAGUUGUAGAAGGUAGCCUGCUUAGUGCUUAGAUUGGUAUGCAAAAGCCUCUAUUGCACAUCAGGCAGAUCAGAGUGACUGCGGGAAAGUACAAAGGCAAGUGUAUCCAAUUCUGGGAGGUUGUGGAUGUUGUUGACAAUUGAGGGACACUAGCAGAGAUGGUGUGGAUGGGGUGGUUUUGGCUAUGAAGCCAAAUCAUGUGAUGGCAAGCUGUUGCAGUUCUUCCAUAUGCAACCAAAUGGCAUGUAGCUAGAUGCCUGACUGUGCAAAAAGCAUCAUGAGGGACUGCUGUUUGCUUUGUAUUUUCUUCUUGUCUUGAAUUUACAUUAUCUUGUCAGUUGAUAGCAAAUGGAAAAGUAAUGUCUGCUUCAAUAGGCCGUGAUUAUGAAAUUGUUGGUUUAUCAGAUAAUAUUUUUCUAUGUUAUUUGCUUCCUCAAUACUACAACGAGAAGGAGGACAUAAAAUUAUUGAACGAAUGUGAAGCAAAUGAAUUGACUCAGAUUGGCAUUAAAAUUGAAACUAGAAGUUCAGGCAUGGAGGUGAAGAAAUGCGGGUUCCGAAUGGUAUACAAGAAAGACGUAGAAGAACUCAACUGAACUAUGGCUCAAAGUAGCAACACCAGCAUCAUUCCUUAUGAGGACUUGGAUGUUCUCCAUCAUAAUUUUGACAAUUUGGCAGUGGUAUGUAAACAAGCAAAACGAAUUUGUGACGAUUACGAAGAUGCUGGACCUAGUGGAGAAGGAAGCUCUAAUGAUUUGCCACACCCAAAAAGGAUUGAAAGUCUCCAUGAUGACUCUGAUUGUGAGGAAUACUUCGAAUGUGGUGAGGAGAUCAAUGAUUAGCAGGAGCAUAGAUGGAAUAGGAAAUUGGGUUCAAAUACUCUUAAUCAGACUCGAGAAGGCAAACAACUGUGUUGGCAAGAUUGAAAGUUGUAGAAGGUAGCCUGCUUAGUGCUUAGAUCGGUAUGCAUAAUCCUCUGUUGCACAUUAGGCAGAUCAGAGUGACUGCAGGAAAGUACCAAGGCAAGUGUAUCCAGCUCUAGAGGGUUGUGGAUGUUGACAAUUGAGGGACACUAGCAGAGAUGGUGUGGAUGGGGUGGUUUUGGCUAUGAAGCCAAAUCAUGUGAUGGCAAGCUAUUGCAGUUCUUCCAUAUGCAACCAAAUGGCAUGUAACUAGAUGCCUAGCUGUCCAAAAAGCAUUAACUGAGGCUAUACAGCUUGAUUUUUGCAGACUUAUUUCAACAAUAUCUAGAGUGGAGGACCUCUUUUUGAGAAAGAAAGUCCCUUGGCAAAUUUUUGUGCUGAUUGAAGACCACAAGUGCUUGGAAGUUGGUGAAUGCUAGUGGUUAUGAAUGUUGUGCAUAAGAGAGUCCUUGCAGAUCUUGGGGCCCUGGCUACUCUUGCUUUCUAAUCUUACAGACAUUUUUGGACUCUACUAAUAGCCAACCAUUCUGACAUUAUUGUAUCUAAAAACCAAACCAGAAAAAAUGUUAUCUUUAUACCUUUUUUGGACUCAUUUAAGCCUUGGGCAUAUGUCUGUGUGCAUUCAUUAACAUUUUAAGACAUUACAUAAGAGAUUUGUUUCUUUGUGUAAAUUCCUGUUAAAGCAAAUAAGAGCAAUUGACUUGACCAUUUAAAAUUGCUUGA